GGAAAGUGUAUGUAGAUAUAUAAAUAAAUGUAUGUGUAUGUACAUAUAAGGUGUUCAAAAUGUAUUUUAAAAAUAAAAAAUGUUUUAAAGUGUUUUUGUGGGCAGAAGGAACUUCUGCAGCCGAAGCAUGGACUUUCAACAGCCGAAAUCCCUUUUUACUAUUUAAAAUCCUCUUUGGACAGAAUGGACUCCGGCAGCAGGAAUUAUGACUUCUGGCAGCCGAAAGUCCCUCGACAGUGAGGGUGUAAGGGGCUAACAGCCUUUUUUUCUGCCAAAAAAGAACUCAAACUCUCUUUUCUCUCUCUCUUCAAGCUUUGAUGACAUGCAAGGUUGAGUUUGAAGAGGUUUUCAUGGCUAUUUCAUGCUUUUAAGUUUGAUUCUUCUAUGGGAAAGCUUGGUAAAAGUGAAUUGAAACUAGAAUCGUCAAUUCACUUCCUUCUCCCAUUCAAAGGAAAGAGAUAAUUUCUCUUUUCUCUUGAUCUGUUAUAAGAAUCCAAGUAUGUCUAGGCAUUUUAGAUUGUUGGUCUUUGAUUGCAUGUAUGUUUAGAGGAGUUUUGGAGCAUGUCUAAGUUGAGAAUGGGUUGGCAUGUUAUGUUCUUGAUGUUUUAUGGAUAAAUGUGAUGUAUGAAGCUAGUGAAACUUUGGAUUCUAACUUUUAGUGUUUGCAUGUGAGUUUAAACUUGAUUUCAAGUUCCCUUAGGCCUUAAAUGGCAAGUUUCUUUUGCUGGAUUCAAGAAUUUCCUGAUGAUGUUAUGUUGAAGUUUGAUUGAAUCUUGAAUUCAAGUUCAAUUUGGCUUUUGCAUGUGUGUUUGGAGCUUAUUUCCAAGUUGUUUUUGGCCCUGGACUUGAGUUGGAAUGUUUGGAUCAUGUUUUGGAAGCUUGAAAUGCAUUUUUGGGUUUUUGGAAAGAAAAGUUCUGUUGGUUUUUUGACUUGGAAAUUCUAAAAAUUCCUAAGUUCGGCUGCUGAAAACUAUUGUUUCAGCAGCCAAAGCACUUAUCAGGAAAAUCUAAAAAAUUUUCGGGUUCAGCAGCCGAAGUCCAAGACUUCAACAGCCGC
This 1057-nucleotide unclassified non-coding RNA is filed under the name Hevea brasiliensis (rubber tree). The record is from RNAcentral. Lineage: Eukaryota; Viridiplantae; Streptophyta; Magnoliopsida; Malpighiales; Euphorbiaceae.